CGAACCGUCCAAACGUUAUUCGGAAUCACUGGGCUUACAGAGUUCGUAGGCGGUCCCAAAAGUUAGGUGUGAAAUCCCUCGGCUUAACCGAGGAACUGCGCUUAAAACUGUGGGACUCGAGGGAGGUAGAGGAAAGCGGAACUGAUGGUGGAGCGGUGAAAUGCGUUGAUAUCAUCAGGAACACCGGUGGCGAAGGCGGCUUUCUGGGUCUUACCUGACGCUGAGGAACGAAAGCCAGGGGAGCGAACGGGAUUAGAUACCCCGGUAGUCCUGGCCGUAAACGAUGAGCACUAGGUCGUGGGCCUCCACAGGCCCUCGGCCGUAGCGAAAGUGUUAAGUGCUCCGCCUGGGGAGUAUGGUCGCAAGGCUG
This 370-nucleotide ribosomal RNA is filed under the name uncultured organism. Its description in RNAcentral is "bacterial SSU rRNA". It matches the Rfam family "Bacterial small subunit ribosomal RNA", at positions 526 to 896 of the family's 1533-position model. The record is from RNAcentral.